UACGUAGGGACCAAGCGUUGUUCGGAUUUACUGGGCGUAAAGGGCGCGUAGGCGGCAAUUCAAGUCAUCUGUGAAAUCUCCGGGCUUAACUCGGAACGGUCAGAUGAUACUGCUUUGCUAGAGUGCGGAAGGGGCAAUCGGAAUUCUCGGUGUAGCGGUGAAAUGCGUAGAGAUUGGAAAGAACACCGAUGGCGAAGGCACUCUACUGGGCUAGAACUGACACUCAGAGACGAAAGCUAGGGGAGCAAAUGGG
This 253-nucleotide ribosomal RNA is filed under the name uncultured bacterium. Its description in RNAcentral is "partial 16S ribosomal RNA". It matches the Rfam family "Bacterial small subunit ribosomal RNA", at positions 524 to 776 of the family's 1533-position model. The record is from RNAcentral.